GUCUCAGUUCAGAUUGUAGGCUGAAACUCGCCUAUAUGAAGUCGGAAUUGCUAGUAAUCGCGGAUCAGCAUGCCGCGGUGAAUACGUUCCCGGGCCUUGUACACACCGCCCGUCACACCAUGAGAGUCGAUAACACCCGAAGCCUGUAGUCUAACAGCAACGAGGACGCAGUCGAAGGUGGGAUUGAUAAUUAGGGUGAAGUCGUAACAAGGUAAC
This 216-nucleotide ribosomal RNA is filed under the name uncultured bacterium. RNAcentral describes it as "partial 16S ribosomal RNA". It matches the Rfam family "Bacterial small subunit ribosomal RNA", at positions 1285 to 1500 of the family's 1533-position model. The record is from RNAcentral.